Aricia agestis (brown argus) is the source of this 128-nucleotide long non-coding RNA. RefSeq lists it as uncharacterized. Lineage: Eukaryota; Metazoa; Arthropoda; Insecta; Lepidoptera; Lycaenidae. The record is from RefSeq and is a predicted model, not a curated record. The transcript is spliced from 3 exons.
UAAAAAGUACAUGCUUGAGUCUGGGAGUUUAAAGAGAGCCAACAAAGACCUUCGAGCUUAUAGGACGUGGAUAGAGGGCUAAAAACUGCAAAAAGGACGAGCCAUAAUAGGCAAGAAAUACUAUCUAU